Molecule: long non-coding RNA, 623 nt
Filed under: Prunus persica (peach)
Lineage: Eukaryota; Viridiplantae; Streptophyta; Magnoliopsida; Rosales; Rosaceae
Description: long non-coding RNA (PPER_LNC004184)
Source: RNAcentral
UAAGAUAUGGUGUUUUUAGAAAAACAUGCUAUUUACUCAAUAAAAUACGGAUAAGAUGUUGUGUUCUCAGAUAUAUAGGCAUUUUACACUAUAACUUACCGGUAAGAUAAGGUGUUUUUAGAAAAAUAGGUUAUUUAUUCCGUAAAAUACGGUUAAGAUGUUGCGUUCUCAGAUAUAUAGGCCUUUUACACUAUAACUUACCGGUAAGAUAUGGUGUUUUUAGAAAAACAGGCUAGUUACUCAAUAAAAUACGGAUGAGAUGUUGUGUUCUCAGAUAUAUAAGCAUUUUACACUAAAACUUACCAGUAAGAUAUGGUGUUUUUUGAAAAAUAAGUUAUUUACUCAAUAAAUUAAGGGUAAGAUGUUGCGUUAUGAGCUAUAUAAGCAUUUCACAGUAUAACUUACCAGAAAUAUACGGUGUUUUUAGAAAAAUAAGUUAUUUACUCCAUCAAUUACGGGUAAAAUAUUGCGUUUUCAAAUAUAUAUAGGCCUUUUACACCAUAACUUACAGGUAAGAUAUGGUGUUUUUAGAAAAACAUGCUAUUUACUCAAUAAAAUACGGAUAAGAUGUUGUGUUCUCAGAUAUAUAGGUAUUUUAUACUAUAAGUUACCGGUAAGGUGUG